This 179-nucleotide non-coding RNA is filed under the name Bacillus sp. 165. Its description in RNAcentral is "6S / SsrS RNA". It matches the Rfam family "6S / SsrS RNA". From Rfam's summary of the family: E. coli 6S RNA was the first non coding RNA to be sequenced, but its function was unknown until recently. It consists of 184 nucleotides that fold into an extended hairpin structure with a large single-stranded internal bulge. The record is from Rfam by way of RNAcentral. Lineage: Bacteria; Bacillati; Bacillota; Bacilli; Caryophanales; Bacillaceae.
ACAUACCUGCGAUGUGCGUAUGCUCCUUGAUGUCUCAAACCUAUAAGAUUAAUUCGGGAAUUCAAUAAUUUUAUUUGUACAACAUGCCUGCAUGAACAGGAAGUUGGAAGAAUAAAUGAGAAUGCCCACCUGCGAGAGCGGGUUUUGAGACACCAGAGUUACGGCAGAGCGGGGAAACA